This is an RNA transcript of Molossus molossus (Pallas's mastiff bat), 4081 nucleotides long. It is a transcript of the gene named potassium calcium-activated channel subfamily N member 4, with no coding region annotated. The record is from RefSeq and is a predicted model, not a curated record. Lineage: Eukaryota; Metazoa; Chordata; Mammalia; Chiroptera; Molossidae. The transcript has 10 exons.
CAAAGAAACCGCGCCAGGUCCCAAGGGUGGCAGGUGCCAGGGAUGCCCAGGCUCAGCCUCGAGAGCACCCGGCGGCGGCGGUGGUUUCUCUGAGCAGACACGUGUGUGGUGUCUGAGUGUGCCCGGAUGUGUCUCCAUCACUCUCCCGCCGUGUCUCGCCCCAAGAGAAACCCAUGUGUGCCACGGGGCGGAGCACCGGCAUGGGUUGUGUUUUUGUCACUGGGUGUGUCUGUGUGUGUGGUUUGGUGUCUCUGGGUGUGUCUGUGUGGGUUGAGUUGGUGUGUUGCCAGGCAUGUCUGUGUGUGUCUCAUUUCCCUGUGGCUGGAGGGUCCAUGCUCCUGCAUGACAUAUGACACGGGAGGGGAGAGGGGUUAUGUCUGUGUGUGCCCCCAAGAAAGGUGUCCCUGGGACCACCGGCUGUGUCAGGAGAUCAGUGUGAUGUUGUGUGUUGCUGUAGGAGGCUUCUGAUCUGUGUCUGCUGUGUGUGCUCACACCCUACACUGUGUGUAACUCUGCAUUGCAUGUGCUGUUCUGUGUCAGUAUGUGGUGUGUCUCUUUCCAGAUGUUGUGUGUGUAAAGCUGUGUAUCACUCAGUGAUGUGACCCUUUGUCUCCUGUCGAGGCACAUGUCCUUGUUGGGGGCCUCUCCUUUCCCUGCCAACAACACAGUCUGGGUGCCCACACUCCAAGUGUGUUGUGUUUGUGUGGUUGUGUAUUACACUGUGCCAUAGGGUGUCCUCUGGCGUGUGGUAUUGUUGCUGGCCUAUCAGUUGUGUCACAUCUGCUGUGGCAUGUGACACAUGGUGUUUAUCAAAGGUGCUAGUGGGAAAUGUUGUGUUGAUGUGUUUUGUGUCACUGUAUGCUUGUGUAUUUCUCUGUGCGUGCUGUAUUUGUGUGGUCGUGCAUGUUGGAGUAUAUGGAGUACCGGGCCAUGUGUGGCUGUUGUAUGUGGUGCUUGAAUGUGGCUUGUCAGUCAGAGGUGAUGGUGCAUGCUUUCUCCUGUACACAUUGCAUUUGGGCAUCGGGGUCCAUGUAGCCUGUCCCCUUCCCCACCCGGGGCACCAUUCCGGGUUGUGUACUCUGUGAUGCACCAAAAUAUACCAAAAACGUCUCACUUGGGGCCUGUGCUGUUAGGGAUUCUGUGUGUGCUGCUGUACACUGGAGGUCUCUGCCUGCGUCUCCCCACACUGCUCUCCUUUUAUACUAGCAUGGCAUUGUGUACCGGGGUACGCUGUGUGUGCUGCGAACCACCCUCUGUGCUCGAGUCAUGUGCAUUUCUCUAUGUGCUGAGUAAUGGGGACUGCCACGGGUAUGUCCCUAAGUGUUGUGUGUCUGCAUGAGUUGGAUAUCACUCCCUGGAUGUGUAAUGCCUGGGCUCUGAGAGAGCACUGUUAACAGUGAUAUGUGUGCAUGGCACUUGGGCAUCGCUAUGUCAAUAUAAUUAGUGUGUUUGUGGAACACUUGGUAUAUGCUCUGCUUGUGUAGCUGUGUGUGUGCUUCAUCUGGUGUGUGGUGUCUGGGUGUGGCUGUGUGUGUCAGGCAAUGUUGUGCUCAUUUUGAUCACAAUAUUGUGCCUGUGUCUAGACAAUAUUUAGGUGGUUGUGUGUGCCACAGGGCGCUGUCUGCCCUGCUGAGUGCUGGCGUGUGUCACACCAUGUGUGUGUGGUGUCUGGGUGUGGCUGUGGGUUUCAAAACUUGUUGGAAGUUGUGAGUCACUUGGUGUAGGUUGUGUUGUGUGCCCAUGUGUGUUAGGCUCUGCCUAUGAUCGUGCAGGGUGUGAGGGUGUCAUGUGGUGUCUGGGUGUGGUUAGAUGUAGGUGUGUAUUACAAAGUGCAGACCGUUGUGUGACUAUUGUGUGUCAGUGUGUCUUUAUCCAUGUGGAUGCACACUUCUUCCUUGCUCUGCCUCAAGACACACUCCAGCCCCUCCUUAGUCUGAGAAGGGGGGUUGGGGAGCCUCCCCUCUGCCCAUGGGCCUCCCAGCCCCUCCCUGCCCUGCCCAGCCGUCACCACCCCCCAGAGGGCACCGGCUCCCUGUGCCUCAAAGCAAGAGCCCCAGAGCAACUGAGCAGAACAAGCAGACGACCUGCAAGCCACAGUGGCUGCCCUUUGUGUGCUGCGAGCUGGGGGACCCUGGGCAGGAAACUGGCUGAGCCCCAAGACCCAGGGGAACAUGGGCGGGGAGCUGGUGCCUGGCUUGGGGGCCCUACGGCGGCGAAAACGCCUGUUGGAGCAGGAGAAGUGGCUGGCCUGCUGGGCACUGACGCUGGCGGUAAUUGGCAUCGGGCUCAUGGUACUACACGCGGAGAUGCUGUGGUUUGGAGGGUGUUCGUGGGCGUUCUACCUGUUCCUGGUUAAAUGCACCAUCAGUAUCUCCACCUUCUUGCUCCUUUGUUUCAUCUUGGCCUUUCAUGCCAAAGAGGUCCAGCUGUUCAUGACAGACAACGGCCUCCGGGACUGGCGUGUGGCGCUGACAGGGUGGCAGGCGGCGCAGAUCGCAGUGGAGCUGGCGGUGUGCGGGCUGCACCCGGCGCCAGUGGGGGGCCCGCCGUGCCUGCAAGAUUCCGGGUCCCCGCUCACCGCGACGCGGUCCUGGCCGGGCUUCCUGGGCCAGUGGGAGGCGCUGCUGUCCCUGGCCAUGCUGCUGCGCCUCUACCUGAUUCCCCGCACCGUGCUCCUGCGCAGCGGCGUCCUGCUCAACGCGUCCUACCGCAGCAUCGGCGCCCUCAACCAGGUCCGCUUCCGCCACUGGUUCGUGGCCAAACUGUACAUGAACACGCACCCGGGCCGCCUGCUGCUCUGCCUCACGCUUGGCCUCUGGCUCACCACCGCCUGGGUGCUGUCGGUGGCUGAGAGGCAGGCUGUUAAUGCCACCGGACAACUUUCGGACACUCUCUGGCUGAUCCCCAUCACAUUCCUAACCAUUGGUUAUGGGGAUGUGGUGCCAGGCACCAUGUGGGGCAAGAUUGUCUGCCUCUGCACUGGAGUCAUGGGGGUCUGCUGCACAGCCCUGCUGGUGGCUGUGGUGGCUCGGAAGCUGGAGUUUAAUAAGGCAGAGAAGCAUGUGCACAACUUCAUGAUGGACAUCCAGUAUGCCAAAGAGAUGAAGGAAUCAGCUGCCCGAGUGCUACAAGAGGCUUGGAUGUUGUACAAACAUACACGCAGGAAGGACUCUGGAGCUGUCCGCAGGCACCAGCGCAGGCUGCUGGGUGCCAUCAACACGUUCCGCCAGGUGCGGCUGAAACACCGAAAGCUCCGGGAACAAGUGAACUCCAUGGUGGACAUCUCCAAGAUGCACAUGAUCCUGUGUGACUUGCAGCUGGGUCUGAGCAGCUCACACCAGGCCCUGGAAAAGCGGAUUGACACACUGGCAGGGAAGCUGGACACCCUGACUGAGCUGCUUAGCACUGUCCUGGGGCCAAGGCAGCUUCCAGAACCCAGCCAGGAGGCCAUAUAGCUGGACUUAAGGAGGAAGAACCAGGCUACUUUCCCCAGGAUUGAGGUCAAGGACAUUCUCCCUUCUUCUCCUGACCCAGCACUAAGAAUAAAGCGCCUCAAAUGCAAGGACUCUAGGGGACCCCACUUUGGAGUGGGUUGACUCGCUGAGGCUGCUGGAGGAAACACUAGCUGAAGAAGGGAGGCCGUGGACCAUCCCUGAGGCCCCUGCCCAUCCCUGAGGCCCAAAUGGGAAAACGGUCACCACUACCCCAAGUACUGUCAACAAAAACAUCCUCACUGUGCUGCUACAGAUGACCUCCAGCUUCCAGUUAGAAGUGGAGGCAGUUCAUCCAGUGGAAGGACCUUACCCUGCCCUGUCUGAACCUCAGUUUCCCCAUCUAUAAAACAGAGGCUUCCCCUAAGUGCCCUCCCAGCUGUGUAGGCUGGGGAGUCCUCACCAACUCCCCCACACCCCAGGUCUGAGGCUAUGAGCAAGGGCUUUGAAUUCAGGCAGAUCCUGGCUCCACCAUCUACUGGCUGUGUGAUUUGGGGCAAAUGGUUCCACCUCUGAACAUUUGACCUCACCUGUAGAAUGGGGCCACUCCCCAUAGAAAUGCUGUUAAAACAGAGUGACACAGAGGGUCA